AGUUGCAUAUGUAUGUGUUAUCUGUGUACUAGAGAGCUUAGAAGAGCAUGCGAUCAGCACUCCUCCGCCGCGAGAGCGAGAACUGUUCUCACCAUUACGAUCACCUCGGUAAAUUGAAUAGGAAUCAUCAGAGUUGAGAGAGGAUGGUAUUGACUCGUCGAGCCACGUUUCUGUCAGUGCAAUUAUGUCGUAAUCAGAUUCUCCCAGAGCUAGACGUAGAUUAUUAAGUUUGGUACGAAUUCCUCUAACGUUCUGAUAAAACACGUGCAGAUGUAAGUUAGAAGAGACAUUCUGGUGAGUAUGAGCCGAACUAUCAUCGAGGCCCACAGCAGUGAUUGGUGCUACGCCAAGGUAUGGUGAGGAGCGGGGUGCCAGCUGAUUAUUAGUACUGUUAACGUGGUGUGUGUUGGUAUAGAUUUCCGAAGGUUUGUGGGGAAGGUUUCGAGAAGCAGGACACCAAAAAUUUUGAACAGGCGAUCGACGGUCAGUGAAUUCACGGAAAAUCAAUCCCGCAGGCCAGGUAGUCGGAGCGAGAGCCUUGCUUUUAAGCGAGAGCAUUAAUCCCACCUUAAACGAAACAAAAGUUAGAGUGCUCGUAUCGCGAUCCCGUGGCAGCAGCCUAAUAACGGUGACGUCAUCAGUGCCUAGUUGGUGAGUAACCAUCGCUUUCACAUCUUGGUCUGAUACCGAGGGGGCUAUUCGAGUCAAAUACAGCCAGAACUUUUGUUCCAUCGGAACCGUAGCUAAGACCCGAGACGGUGUUGUAAUUGCUGUGCCAAAAAGUAGAGGAGCGGCAUUAUCGGUGGUUUUUGUAAUUGGUGGCGAAUAAUCGACAAGUCUACGUUUAGGCGCAUUGCGCUUCGGUGCAUUUUGAGAAGUGCGGAUGGAUUCACUAUUGCGUGCACUGAGUGGUGUGAAUGUGUUGGUGAGAGAUGGUUGCAUUUCCAGGCGGUCCACUAUGGAACGAACAGAGUGUGAGGUUGUGUGCGUAUUAACGUCUUUCUUAAAGCUCCUCCUUGAAACCAUCCAGGACGGCCGUAAAUUCGUCCAAUAAUACAGAUUUGCAACGCCGGAUGUUCUUGCAGCCAGCACAGGACCAGGAAGUAAGCGACUCGGGGAUGAGAAUCUCAUUCAGCACUGCAUCAGAGACUCCCAUACAGGCAUGGUGAAACGAUUCAUUACACCAUCCAGCACACACAUAUACAUUCUCGUCCGUUACAGGCUUAAGGCAUGAAGGGCAGGGAGCAGCCAUGUCGACGAUCAGCAAAAGUCGUGAUCCAGAUGAGCAGCAAACUUCAGCGCCAAACACUGAUGAAAAACUCGCCCGGAAUCGACUGAUGAAUACAGCAGCGAUGAACUCGAUCAGUAAUCUCACUCAAUCAGGCCCGGAACAACCACAGCACGAAAAACACGUACAAAAAACGGAAAAAUAAUCAGAGCGCAAACCAGAACACAACCGUUGAGA
This is a long non-coding RNA of Anopheles gambiae (African malaria mosquito), 1465 nucleotides long. RefSeq lists it as uncharacterized. Lineage: Eukaryota; Metazoa; Arthropoda; Insecta; Diptera; Culicidae. The transcript has 2 exons. The record is from RefSeq and is a predicted model, not a curated record.